AACGGCCGUACCAUGCUGAAUAUACCGGUUCUCGUUAGAUCACCGAAGUCAAGCAUCAGUGGGGGCGGUCAGUACUUGGGUGAGUACUUAGUGGGUCAGUACUGGGAACACCGCGUGUCGUU
Molecule: non-coding RNA, 122 nt
Organism: Caerostris darwini
Lineage: Eukaryota; Metazoa; Arthropoda; Arachnida; Araneae; Araneidae
Source: the annotation of a GenBank genome assembly